This 468-nucleotide ribosomal RNA is filed under the name uncultured bacterium. RNAcentral's name for it is "partial 16S ribosomal RNA". It matches the Rfam family "Bacterial small subunit ribosomal RNA", at positions 28 to 507 of the family's 1533-position model. The record is from RNAcentral.
GAUGAACGCUGGCGGCGUGCUUAACACAUGCGAGUCGAACGGUGAAGGCGGAGCUUGCUCUGCUGGAUCAGUGGCGAACGGGUGAGUAACACGUGAGCAAUCUGCCCCUGACUCUGGGAUAAGCGCUGGAAACGGCGUCUAAUACUGGAUACGAGCGGCGAAGGCAUCUUCAGCAGCUGGAAAGAACUUCGGUCAGGGAUGAGCUCGCGGCCUAUCAGCUUGUUGGUGAGGUAACGGCUCACCAAGGCGUCGACGGGUAGCCGGCCUGAGAGGGUGACCGGCCACACUGGGACUGAGACACGGCCCAGACUCCUACGGGAGGCAGCAGUGGGGAAUCUUGCACAAUGGGCGAAAGCCUGAUGCAGCAACGCCGCGUGAGGGACGACGGCCUUCGGGUUGUAAACCUCUUUUAGCAGGGAAGAAGCGAAAGUGACGGUACCUGCAGAAAAAGCGCCGGCUAACUACGUG